Molecule: ribosomal RNA, 253 nt
Filed under: uncultured bacterium
Lineage: Bacteria
Description: partial 16S ribosomal RNA
Rfam family: Bacterial small subunit ribosomal RNA
Source: RNAcentral
UACAGAGGGGGCAAGCGUUGUUCGGAAUUACUGGGCGUAAAGGGCGCGUAGGCGGCCUGCUAAGUCGAACGUGAAAUCCCUGGGCUCAACCCAGGAACUGCGUCCGAUACUGGUUGGCUUGAAUCCGGGAGGGGUGAUUGGAACUCCAGGUGUAGCGGUGAAAUGCGUAGAUAUCUGGAGGAACACCGGAGGCGAAGGCGAAUCACUGGACCGCUUCUGACGCUGAGGCGCGAAAGCUAGGGGAGCAAACAGG